RNAcentral lists this ribosomal RNA (648 nucleotides) under Triticum aestivum (bread wheat). Its description in RNAcentral is "partial small subunit ribosomal RNA". The record is from RNAcentral. Lineage: Eukaryota; Viridiplantae; Streptophyta; Magnoliopsida; Poales; Poaceae.
AUGGUAAUCAGAGCAUCCCUCUUCCAAUACAUCUCAGCUUCCCAAUCUCCAUUAGUGCCUAGCAUGUCUUCCUCCGGCUCCUCCCAGAUCGGCCUCAACAACCAGGUCACGGAGAAGCUCACCCGUACGAACUACGUACUGUGGCGAGUCCAGAUCACGUUGCAGCUAAGGGGAGCUGGCGUCUUCGGCUAUGCCGACGGCAGCACGCCGGAGCCGGCUCGUUUCCUUCCUGGCAAGGACAAGGACGGCAAGGACUCCACCGAGCCCAACCCUCUCCACCCAAUAUGGGUCCGGGAGGAUCAACAAGUUCUCGGUUAUCUGCUCAACAAUCUCUCCAAAGAGGUGUUGGUGCAGGUGACCGCGAUCACCACACGCACGCGCUCUGGACAACGCUGGCGGCCAUGUUCUCCUCGCAGUCGCUUAGCCGCAUCAACAACAUCCGCACGGCUCUGCUUCAUGCGCAGAAGGGAACCCAGCCGGUCGCCACUUUCUUCGCUCACAUGCGCGGCCUCGCCGAUGAACUCCCGCGGCCGGCAAGCCGCUGCAAGACGACGAGAUCGUCUCCUACAUCCUUCACGCGCUGGACAUGGAGUACCAGCCUUUGGUGUCGGCCCUCGAUGCUCGCACCUCUCCCGUCACCCUGGAUGA